GCCCGGGUGGUGGAACUGGUAUACACAGCAGACUUAAAAUCUGCCGCCUUUUGGCUUACGGGUUCGAGUCCCGUCCCGGGUACCA
RNAcentral lists this transfer RNA (85 nucleotides) under Betaproteobacteria bacterium. RNAcentral's name for it is "tRNA-Leu". It matches the Rfam family "tRNA". From Rfam's summary of the family: Transfer RNA (tRNA) molecules are approximately 80 nucleotides in length. Their secondary structure includes four short double-helical elements and three loops (D, anti-codon, and T loops). Lineage: Bacteria; Pseudomonadati; Pseudomonadota; Betaproteobacteria. The record is from RNAcentral.